Molecule: ribosomal RNA, 254 nt
Filed under: uncultured bacterium
Lineage: Bacteria
Description: partial 16S ribosomal RNA
Rfam family: Bacterial small subunit ribosomal RNA
Source: RNAcentral
UACAGGGGGUGCAAACGUUGCUCGGAAUCACUGGGCGUAAAGGGUGCGUAGGCGGGUCUUUUAAGUCAGGGGUGAAAUCCUGGAGCUCAACUCCAGAACUGCCUUUGAUACUGAAGAUCUUGAGUUCGGGAGAGGUGAGUGGAACUGCGAGUGUAGAGGUGAAAUUCGUAGAUAUUCGCAAGAACACCAGUGGCGAAGGCGGCUCACUGGCCCGAUACUGACGCUGAUGCACGAAAGCGUGGGGAGCAAACAGG